UAGCUUGCUACACCAUAAACUGUGAGUUGCGAACGGGUGAGUAACGCGUAGGUAACCUGCCUGGUAGCGGGGGAUAACUAUUGGAAACGAUAGCUAAUACCGCAUAAUAUUGAUUAUUGCAUGAUAAUUGAUUGAAAGAUGCUAUUGCAUCACUACCAGAUGGACCUGCGUUGUAUUAGCUAGUAGGUGAGGUAACGGCUCACCUAGGCGACGAUACAUAGCCGACCCGAGAGGGUGAUCGGCCACACUGGGACUGAGACACGGCCCAGACUCCUACGGGAGGCAGCAGUAGGGAAUCUUCGGCAAUGGACGAAAGUCUGACCGAGCAACGCCGCGUGAGCGAAGAAGGUUUUCGGAUCGUAAAGCUCUGUUGUAAGAGAAGAACGGGUGUGAGAGUGGAAAGUUCACACUGUGACGGUAUCUUACCAGAAAGGGACGGCUAACUACGUGCCAGCAGCCGCGGUAAUACGUAGGUCCCGAGCGUUGUCCGGAUUUAUUGAGCGUAAAGCGAGCGCAGGCGGUUAGAUAAGUCUGAAGUUAAAGGCCGUGGCUUAACCAUAGUACGCUUUGGAAACUGUUUAACUUGAGUGCAGAAGGGGAGAGUGGAAUUCCAUGUGUAGCGGUGAAAUGCGUAGAUAUAUGGAGGAACACCGGUGGCGAAAGCGGCUCUCUGGUCUGUAACUGACGCUGAGGCUCGAAAGCGUGGGGAGCGAACAGGAUUAGAUANCCUGGUAGUCCACGCCGUAAACGAUGAGUGCUAGGUGUUAGGCCCUUUCCGGGGCUUAGUGCCGCAG
RNAcentral lists this ribosomal RNA (794 nucleotides) under uncultured Streptococcus sp. RNAcentral describes it as "bacterial SSU rRNA". It matches the Rfam family "Bacterial small subunit ribosomal RNA", at positions 76 to 851 of the family's 1533-position model. Lineage: Bacteria; Bacillati; Bacillota; Bacilli; Lactobacillales; Streptococcaceae. The record is from RNAcentral.